This 285-nucleotide ribosomal RNA is filed under the name uncultured archaeon. Its description in RNAcentral is "partial 16S ribosomal RNA". It matches the Rfam family "Archaeal small subunit ribosomal RNA", at positions 1069 to 1353 of the family's 1478-position model. The record is from RNAcentral.
AGCAUGUCCUUCGGGAUGAUGGGUACUCUGUGGGGACCGCUGGUGCUAAACCAGAGGAAGGUGCGGGCUACGGUAGGUCAGUAUGCCCCGAAUCUCCCGGGCUACACGCGGGCUACAAUGGUUGGGACAAUGGGUCCCUACACCGAAAGGUGAUGGUAAUCUCUUAAACCCAACCGUAGUUCGAAUCGAGGACUGUAACUCGUCCUCGUGAAGCUGGAAUCCGUAGUAAUCGCGUUUCAACAUAGCGCGGUGAAUACGUCCCUGCUCCUUGCACACACCGCCCGU